GGCCUGUGAUGUUAUAAAAUUGUCCGUACCAUCUGAUAUUCUGAUGUAUUCAUAUUUCAAACCUUUCUGCGGCCU
Humulus lupulus (European hop) is the source of this 75-nucleotide small nucleolar RNA. RefSeq annotates it as small nucleolar RNA snoR117. The transcript has a single exon. NCBI's taxonomy places the organism in Eukaryota, Viridiplantae, Streptophyta, Magnoliopsida, Rosales, Cannabaceae. The record is from RefSeq and is a predicted model, not a curated record.